UUAGGUGUUAAUUAAAAAUUAACUGGGCUUGUAGGUGAAGAUUGAUUAAUGUUAAUAAAAUCAUUUUUAUUGUUUAUUAUUUUAGUAUUGGAUAAAGAAAGAAUUUUAAGUGGGUUAGUGAAUUAGUACUGUGAGGGAAAAUUUGAAAUAUAAGAAAAUUUAUUUUAUGGUAAGUGGAUUUAGUUUAUCGUACCUUGUGUAUCAGGGUUCAUUAAAAAGUUCUUAAUGAGUUAAGUUUCCCGAUUUAAAGAGAGCUAAUUUGGUUUGUUGGUUAAUGUGGAAUAAUUAUCAAUGAGAUUAAAUUAGAGAUGAAAUGUUAUGCGUUCUUUAAGAUAUCUGGUUUUUUAAUAAAUGAAUUUAAUUCAGUUACUUAGCUUUAGUUGUUUUUGUAGAUUAAGAGUUUAUAGCUAAGUAAUAAGAAUUCGGGGGAUAAGCUUCGAAUUUAUGCUAAAAUAAAAGUUGUUGAAUUGAGGGGUUACUAGGCUUAGAGGUAGCCAUGUUUUAUAAGGGUGUUGUAACUUACUUUUAAACAAUAUUAUUUUAUUUGUAUUUAGUGGUGUAUUAAAAUGUUAGAUUUAAUUAUUAAGUUUUAGUAAUAAUGAUGGAAUUAGUAUAAUUAAGUUUGUUUAAAGUUGUUUAGAAGGUAAUUGAGAGGUUAUUAUAAGGAACUAGGCAAAUUAGUGCUCGCCUGUUUAACAAAAACAUGUCUUCUUGGGUUAAAAAUAUGAAGUCUGACCUGCCCACUGAAUAUGAAUUUUGAAGGGCCGCGGUAUUUUGACCGUGCAAAGGUAGCAUAAUCAUUAGUCUUUUAAUUGGAGGCUGGAAUGAAUGGUUGGACGAGGCACUGACUGUCUCAUUUUGAUUGAGGUUAAAAUUUAACAUUUGAGUGAAAAGGCUUAAAUGUUUUUAGAGGACGAGAAGACCCUAUAGAGCUUGAUAUUAAACUGUAUAUAAAUUAUUUAGAUGUUUAUGUUUUUUAUGGGGUUUAGUAUUUUAUUGGGGUGAUAGGAAGAUAAGAAAAACUCUUUUUGGUGAAGUUUGUACAUUGAUUUAUGAUUUAUUGAUCCGUUUAUAGCGAUUAUAAGACUAAGUUACCUUAGGGAUAACAGCGUAAUCUUUUUUGAGAGUUCUUAUCGACAAGAAGGGUUGCGACCUCGAUGUUGGAUUAAGGUGAAAUUUGGGUGUAGAUGUUCAAAUUUUUAGGUCUGUUCGACCUUUAAAUCCUUACAUGAUCUGAGUUCAGACCGGCGUAAGCCAGGUCGGUUUCUAUCCUUAGAAUAAGGAAAUAUUUUAGUACGAAAGGACCAAAUAUUUAAAUGAAAUUUUAAGUUAUGAUUAAAAUUAAUCUU
Molecule: ribosomal RNA, 1349 nt
Filed under: Acroneuria carolinensis
Lineage: Eukaryota; Metazoa; Arthropoda; Insecta; Plecoptera; Perlidae
Description: 16S ribosomal RNA
Rfam family: Bacterial large subunit ribosomal RNA (bases 911-1272)
Source: RNAcentral